CUACGUGCCAGCAGCCGCGGUAAUAUGGAAGGUCCGGGCGUUAUCCGGAUUUAUUGGGUUUAAAGGGAGCGUAGGCUGGAGAUUAAGUGUGUUGUGAAAUGUAGACGCUCAACGUCUGACUUGCAGCGCAUACUGGUUUCCUUGAGUACGCACAACGUUGGCGGAAUUCGUCGUGUAGCGGUGAAAUGCUUAGAUAUGACGAAGAACUCCGAUUGCGAAGGCAGCUGACGGGAGCGCAACUGACGCUGAAGCUCGAAGGUGCGGGUAUCGAACAGGAUUAGAUACCCUGGUAGUCCGCACAGUAAACGAUGGAUGCCCGCUGUUGGUACCUGGUAUCAGCGGCUAAGCGAAAGCAUUAAGCAUCCCACCUGGGGAGUACGCCGGCAACGGUGAAACUCAAAGGAAUUGACGGGGGCCCGCACAAGCGGAGGAACAUGUGGUUUAAUUCGAUGAUACGCGAGGAACCUUACCCGGGCUUGAAUUGCAGAGGAAGGAUUUAGAGAUA
This 505-nucleotide ribosomal RNA is filed under the name uncultured bacterium. RNAcentral describes it as "bacterial SSU rRNA". It matches the Rfam family "Bacterial small subunit ribosomal RNA", at positions 501 to 1008 of the family's 1533-position model. The record is from RNAcentral.